GACGAACGCUGGCGGCGUGCUUAACACAUGCAAGUCGAACGGAAAGGCCCUGCUUUUGUGGGGUGCUCGAGUGGCGAACGGGUGAGUAACACGUGAGUAACCUGCCCUUGACUUUGGGAUAACUUCAGGAAACUGGGGCUAAUACCGGAUAGGAGCUCCUGCUGCAUGGUGGGGGUUGGAAAGUUUCGGCGGUUGGGGAUGGACUCGCGGCUUAUCAGCUUGUUGGUGGGGUAGUGGCUUACCAAGGCUUUGACGGGUAGCCGGCCUGAGAGGGUGACCGGCCACAUUGGGACUGAGAUACGGCCCAGACUCCUACGGGAGGCAGCAGUGGGGAAUAUUGCACAAUGGGCGGAAGCCUGAUGCAGCAACGCCGCGUGCGGGAUGACGGCCUUCGGGUUGUAAACCGCUUUCGCCUGUGACGAAGCGUGAGUGACGGUAAUGGGUAAAGAAGCACCGGCUAACUACGUGCCAGCAGCCGCGGUGAUACGUAGGGUGCGAGCGUUGUCCGGAUUUAUUGGGCGUAAAGGGCUCGUAGGUGGUUGAUCGCGUCGGAAGUGUAAUCUUGGGGCUUAACCCUGAGCGUGCUUUCGAUACGGGUUGACUUGAGGAAGGUAGGGGAGAAUGGAAUUCCUGGUGGAGCGGUGGAAUGCGCAGAUAUCAGGAGGAACACCAGUGGCGAAGGCGGUUCUCUGGGCCUUUCCUGACGCUGAGGAGCGAAAGCGUGGGGAGCGAACAGGCUUAGAUACCCUGGUAGUCCACGCUGUAAACGGUGGGUACUAGGUGUGGGGUCCAUUCCACGGGUUCCGUGCCGUAGCUAACGCUUUAAGUACCCCGCCUGGGGAGUACGGCCGCAAGGCUAAAACUCAAAGGAAUUGACGGGGCCCCGCACAAGCGGCGGAGCAUGCGGAUUAAUUCGAUGCAACGCGUAGAACCUUACCUGGGUUUGACAUGGAUCGGGAGUGCUCAGAGAUGGGUGUGCCUCUUUUGGGGUCGGUUCACAGGUGGUGCAUGGCUGUCGUCAGCUCGUGUCGUGAGAUGUUGGGUUAAGUCCCGCAACGAGCGCAACCCUUGUUCACUGUUGCCAGCACGUUAUGGUGGGGACUCAGUGGAGACCGCCGGGGUCAACUCGGGGGAAGGUGGGGAUGACGUCAAGUCAUCAUGCCCCUUAUGUCCAGGGCUUCACGCAUGCUACAAUGGCUGGUACAGAGAGUGGCGAGCCUGUGAGGGUGAGCGAAUCUCGGAAAGCCGGUCUCAGUUCGGAUUGGGGUCUGCAACUCGACCUCAUGAAGUCGGAGUCGCUAGUAAUCGCAGAUCAGCAACGCUGCGGUGAAUACGUUCCCGGGGCU
This 1346-nucleotide ribosomal RNA is filed under the name uncultured bacterium. RNAcentral describes it as "partial 16S ribosomal RNA". It matches the Rfam family "Bacterial small subunit ribosomal RNA", at positions 28 to 1381 of the family's 1533-position model. The record is from RNAcentral.